UUUCUACAGGCUUAACACAUGCAAGUCGAGGGGCAGCAUGGUCUUAGCUUGCUAAGGCCGAUGGCGACCGGCGCACGGGUGAGUAACACGUAUCCAACCUGCCGUCUACUCUUGGACAGCCUUCUGAAAGGAAGAUUAAUACAAGAUGGCAUCAUGAGUCCGCAUGUUCACAUGAUUAAAGGUAUUCCGGUAGACGAUGGGGAUGCGUUCCAUUAGAUAGUAGGCGGGGUAACGGCCCACCUAGUCUUCGAUGGAUAGGGGUUCUGAGAGGAAGGUCCCCCACAUUGGAACUGAGACACGGUCCAAACUCCUACGGGAGGCAGCAGUGAGGAAUAUUGGUCAAUGGGCGAGAGCCUGAACCAGCCAAGUAGCGUGAAGGAUGACUGCCCUAUGGGUUGUAAACUUCUUUUAUAAAGGAAUAAAGUCGGGUAUGGAUACCCGUUUGCAUGUACUUUAUGAAUAAGGAUCGGCUAACUCCGUGCCAGCAGCCGCGGUAAUACGGAGGAUCCGAGCGUUAUCCGGAUUUAUUGGGUUUAAAGGGAGCGUAGAUGGAUGUUUAAGUCAGUUGUGAAAGUUUGCGGCUCAACCGUAAAAUUGCAGUUGAUACUGGAUAUCUUGAGUGCAGUUGAGGCAGGCGGAAUUCGUGGCGUAGCGGUGAAAUGCUUAGAUAUCACGAAGAACUCCGAUUGCGAAGGCAGCCUGCUAAGCUGCAACUGACAUUGAGGCUCGAAAGUGUGGGUAUCAAACAGGAUUAGAUACCCUGGUAGUCCACACGGUAAACGAUGAAUACUCGCUGUUUGCGAUAUACAGCAAGCGGCCAAGCGAAAGCGUUAAGUAUUCCACCUGGGGAGUACGCCGGCAACGGUGAAACUCAAAGGAAUUGACGGGGGCCCGCACAAGCGGAGGAACAUGUGGUUUAAUUCGAUGAUACGCGAGGAACCUUACCCGGGCUUAAAUUGCAGAUGAAUUACGGUGAAAGCCGUAAGCCGCAAGGCAUCUGUGAAGGUGCUGCAUGGUUGUCGUCAGCUCGUGCCGUGAGGUGUCGGCUUAAGUGCCAUAACGAGCGCAACCCUUGUUGUCAGUUACUAACAGGUUCCGCUGAGGACUCUGACAAGACUGCCAUCGUAAGAUGUGAGGAAGGUGGGGAUGACGUCAAAUCAGCACGGCCCUUACGUCCGGGGCUACACACGUGUUACAAUGGGGGGUACAGAGGGCCGCUACCACGCGAGUGGAUGCCAAUCCCAAAAACCUCUCUCAGUUCGGACUGGAGUCUGCAACCCGACUCCACGAAGCUGGAUUCGCUAGUAAUCGCGCAUCAGCCACGGCGCGGUGAAUACGUUCCCGGGCCUUGUACACACCGCCCGUCAAGCCAUGGGAGCCGGGGGUACCUGAAGUGCGUAACCGCGAGGAGCGCCCUAGGGUAAAACUGGUGACUG
This 1436-nucleotide ribosomal RNA is filed under the name uncultured bacterium. RNAcentral's name for it is "bacterial SSU rRNA". It matches the Rfam family "Bacterial small subunit ribosomal RNA". The record is from RNAcentral.